This 538-nucleotide ribosomal RNA is filed under the name uncultured bacterium. Its description in RNAcentral is "bacterial SSU rRNA". It matches the Rfam family "Bacterial small subunit ribosomal RNA", at positions 358 to 916 of the family's 1533-position model. The record is from RNAcentral.
GGAAUCUUACACAAUGGAGGAAACUCUGAUGCAGCGAUGCCGCGUGAGUGAAGAAGGCCUUUGGGUUGUAAAGCUCUUUUGUAGGGGAAGAUAAUGACUGUACCCUAAGAAUAAGGUCCGGCUAACUUCGUGCCAGCAGCCGCGGUAAUACGAAGGGACCUAGCGUAGUUCGGAAUUACUGGGCGUAAAGCGCGCGUAGGCCGUUGAGUUAGUUAAUUGUGAAAUCCCAAAGCUUAACUUUGGAACUGCAAUUAAAACUGCUCGACUAGAGUUUGAUAGAGGAAAGCGGAAUACAUAGUGUAGAGGUGAAAUUCGUAGAUAUUAUGUAGAACACCAGUUGCGAAGGCGGCUUUCUGGAUCAACACUGACGCUGAGGCGCGAAAGUAUGGGUAGCAAAGAGGAUUAGAUACCCUCGUAGUCCAUACCAUAAACGAUGAUUGCUAGAUGUUGGAAAUUUAUUUUCAGUAUCGCAGCUAACGCAUUAAGCAAUCCGCCUGGGGAGUACGACCGCAAGGUUAAAACUCAAAUGAAUUGACGG